RNAcentral lists this unclassified non-coding RNA (289 nucleotides) under Hevea brasiliensis (rubber tree). The record is from RNAcentral. Lineage: Eukaryota; Viridiplantae; Streptophyta; Magnoliopsida; Malpighiales; Euphorbiaceae.
GCCGCUGUAGCAGCCAUGCCAGUCUCGGCUAUAACCCCAGCUGCUGCUCCAUUACCGUUUGCAACCACCACUGUGCCAUUGGCCUCAUUAUUGGUUGAUUCAGCUGCAUCCUCUCCAGCAGGCUUUGACAUAUAGUAAUUCCUUGACCUAGUCCAUCUUCUUGAAAAUGGAUCAUACCCAGCCUCACCUGCUUUCAGACUAGUGUUCAAAGGUUUCAAUCCUGAUGCAUUUCUGAAAUUCUCAGCUCUGUUCUUUCUAUUCAUCUCUGCCAACCUAAUAGCCUUCUUAU